GACGAACGCUGGCGGCAGGCUUAACACAUGCAAGUCGAGCGCCCCGCAAGGGGAGCGGCAGACGGGUGAGCAACGCGUGGGAAUCUACCUAGUUCUACGGAACAACAGUUGGAAACGACUGCUAAUACCGUAUACGCCCUACGGGGGAAAGAUUUAUCGGAAUUAGAUGAGCCCGCGUAAGAUUAGCUAGUUGGUGAGGUAAUGGCUCACCAAGGCGACGAUCUUUAGCUGGUCUGAGAGGAUGAUCAGCCACACUGGGACUGAGACACGGCCCAGACUCCUACGGGAGGCAGCAGUGGGGAAUAUUGGACAAUGGGCGCAAGCCUGAUCCAGCCAUGCCGCGUGAGUGAUGAAGGCCUUAGGGUUGUAAAGCUCUUUCACCGAUGAAGAUAAUGACGGUAGUCGGAGAAGAAGCCCCGGCUAACUUCGUGCCAGCCGCCGCCGUAA
This 447-nucleotide ribosomal RNA is filed under the name uncultured bacterium. Its description in RNAcentral is "partial 16S ribosomal RNA". It matches the Rfam family "Bacterial small subunit ribosomal RNA", at positions 28 to 523 of the family's 1533-position model. The record is from RNAcentral.